Molecule: long non-coding RNA, 1300 nt
Organism: Gasterosteus aculeatus aculeatus (three-spined stickleback)
Lineage: Eukaryota; Metazoa; Chordata; Actinopteri; Perciformes; Gasterosteidae
Source: Ensembl
CGAUUAUCGUCGUUUCUAAGAUACUUCUCGGCGGUGAAAGACUGCGAUGUGGACAUCGCUAUCGAAGCUUGAAGUCCCCGGUCGCCGGUGAUUGACUUUGUGCAUGUUCACACGGACAGGAGCAGAACUAUUCAGCGACUAACGCACAGAGGUCCACGCGGCAAUACACAGCGGCUGACUGGAUGACGUCACCACAGUAGGCGGUCCUUCUUUACGCGCGCGCACGGAAACAAAUGAAGGGGCAGCAGCGGGUAAACGGUUUGCGGACAUCUACAUUAUUUCCCAUACAUUUUGCAUUCAUUCUACCAACACAAGUUGGAGUGACAGAAGGACCUUUAUCUAUUAACUUUGCAUUGUUACCAGCUAUUGCUCAAUAAAACAAGUGUACUAAUACUGCAGGGACAAAGUCUGAGCUGAAUACAUAUAUAAUAACAACGUGGGGGGGAAGCAUUGAGGAGAGAACACACACACGUGCUGUUAUUGUAACCUGCGACAAACGUUCCUCAUCACACUUUUGUUCGGGUUAAGAUUAAGGUACCGGGACGGCGAAGCCAGAUGCACCAGUAUCUGCAAAAUGAAGAGGCGGACUCACCAACACAAGUGUCACACUUUGGCACCAACAAAGUGCUCGGGAUCAGGAAGCUGCAGAGAUGGAAUGUGCUUUACAGAUGUUAUUGUACUGCUGGACAGUGCCGUCAAUAAAUUGCCACAAUUUUUCGAGAUGCACUCAAAUGCCUGAUUGGUGUUACAAAAACUUGUUAUAUUUAUCUCUUCAUUCUACUUGUAAAUAGGUCAAUAUAUAGAAUGUGAAAUGAUGCCAUGACCAGCAUGUUUCCCUGUUGGCAUGUUGUGAUCAGUGUCUCACAUGGCUUGUGGAAAACUCCCAACGGCUUUUUUCUUGCCACUCUUCUAUCAAGGCCAGAUUUAUGGAGUACACGGUUACUAGUUGUCCUGUGGACAGAUUCUGUCCACCUCCAGAGAUACCAUGUGACGCCUCCAGUGUCCUCAGGAUAAAUGUGACCUGUGACUUUGGUGACCUGACGGUGGGAUCCAUCCACAGCUCCAGAGGUCACUCUAAGGGUCACAUGAAAGCAAACAUGGAGGCAAUGACGAAAAGAGAAUGAAUUCAUUUCUUUAUUGUUCUUGUCUAGUGAGAAAAAUAUAAAAUAUUCUACAGUCAAAAUGUCUGAAUACCAUAAAGUCAGUCAUUUUCCUUAUACCGCAGCAUUUGAGCGACAUUAUUUCUUAUCACCAGGGCCCUUUGGCCCUUUGAUUUUGGAUGGAAGUGUGACAAAUCAAC